GGCCUUGUAGUGAAGUUCAUGGUGAGUUGCAAGCUCGUCGAUGCGCAUUAAUCUGCGUCGAGGUCU
RNAcentral lists this transfer RNA (66 nucleotides) under Trochalopteron affine (black-faced laughingthrush). RNAcentral's name for it is "tRNA-Cys". The record is from RNAcentral. Lineage: Eukaryota; Metazoa; Chordata; Aves; Passeriformes; Leiothrichidae. RNAcentral also lists the same sequence under 1 other name.